This 484-nucleotide ribosomal RNA is filed under the name uncultured bacterium. RNAcentral describes it as "partial 16S ribosomal RNA". It matches the Rfam family "Bacterial small subunit ribosomal RNA", at positions 30 to 507 of the family's 1533-position model. The record is from RNAcentral.
AUUGAACGCUGGCGGCAGGCCUAACACAUGCAAGUCGAGCGGAUGAAGGGAGCUUGCUCCUGGAUUCAGCGGCGGACGGGUGAGUAAUGCCUAGGAAUCUGCCUGGUAGUGGGGGAUAACGUCCGGAAACGGGCGCUAAUACCGCAUACGUCCUGAGGGAGAAAGUGGGGGAUCUUCGGACCUCACGCUAUCAGAUGAGCCUAAGUCGGAUUAGCUAGUUGGUGGGGUAAAGGCCUACCAAGGCGACGAUCCGUAACUGGUCUGAGAGGGUGAUCAGUCACACUGGAACUGAGACACGGUCCAGACUCCUACGGGAGGCAGCAGUGGGGAAUAUUGGACAAUGGGCGAAAGCCUGAUCCAGCCAUGCCGCGUGUGUGAAGAAGGUCUUCGGAUUGUAAAGCACUUUAAGUUGGGAGGAAGGGCAGUAAGUUAAUACCUUGCUGUUUUGACGUUACCAACAGAAUAAGCACCGGCUAACUUCGUG